Molecule: long non-coding RNA, 324 nt
Filed under: Musa acuminata (dwarf banana)
Lineage: Eukaryota; Viridiplantae; Streptophyta; Magnoliopsida; Zingiberales; Musaceae
Description: long non-coding RNA (MACU_LNC004210)
Source: RNAcentral
AAGUUGCUGUCUCCGCUGACCAGGCAACGGCAUCAUGUGUGGAGCUACACCUGGAGGAGCUACAUGUUGAAUAUGAAUCUGAUUGUGCAGAUGUGGAGGUAAAGGCUGAUUGUGCAGAUGUGGAGGUAAAGGUUGAUUGUGCAGCUGUGGAGGCAAUGAUUGGUUGUGCAGCUGUACAGGUAAUGGUGCCAUUGCACCAGAUCGUAUGUCCCAACUAGCAGCAGCUUGAGGUACCUGAGGAAGUGAGACUCCAUUGGAGAUUGCCGGAUAUGGAAUGCUGUUAUAUGAAUGAACUGUGGCACCAGCCAUGGGGACUGGCUGAGG